Molecule: ribosomal RNA, 497 nt
Filed under: uncultured bacterium
Lineage: Bacteria
Description: partial 16S ribosomal RNA
Rfam family: Bacterial small subunit ribosomal RNA
Source: RNAcentral
GAUGAACGCUGGCGGCGUGCCUAAUACAUGCAAGUCGAGCGAACGGACGAGAAGCUUGCUUUUCUGAUGUUAGCGGCGGACGGGUGAGUAACACGUGGAUAACCUACCUAUAAGACUGGGAUAACUUCGGGAAACCGGAGCUAAUACCGGAUAAUAUUUUGAACCGCAUGGUUCAAAAGUGAAAGACGGUCUUGCUGUCACUUAUAGAUGGAUCCGCGCUGCAUUAGCUAGUUGGUAAGGUAACGGCUUACCAAGGCAACGAUGCAUAGCCGACCUGAGAGGGUGAUCGGCCACACUGGAACUGAGACACGGUCCAGACUCCUACGGGAGGCAGCAGAAGGGAAUCUUCCGCAAUGGGCGAAAGCCUGACGGAGCAACGCCGCGUGAGUGAUGAAGGUCUUCGGAUCGUAAAACUCUGUUAUUAGGGAAGAACAUAUGUGUAAGUAACUGUGCACAUCUUGACGGUACCUAAUCAGAAAGCCACGGAUAACUACGUG